GGGAGCGGCCGGGACCAGGAGCGGGCGGCGCCGGCAGCCGCGGGCGGCGGAGUUCCAGGACUUUCGCAUCAAAACAGGAGAUAUGAAGCACUGUGGCCUGUGAUAUUUAUUUUUGCUGUUUUCACCACUGGAGGAUGGCUGACAGACUCUGUGAAAAUGGUUCUGGACUUUGCACUGUGGGGCGUGCGAUUCACAGAGUACCACAUCUGCCUCUUCACUCAGAUCACUUCUCUGACCUACGGGAUUUUGCCUUACCCAGUGUAUCUUGUGGCUGCUCUGGAUUAUUACACCACCGUCCCCCAAACAUCCCGAUUCCCUAAAACAGGUCGGAAGUUACUUUAUGUAUUUGCUGUGGUGCUUAUAUGGAUUUCCAGGUUUUUUUGCACUCUCCAAGUUCCCGCUGUCUCUGAAGAGCUGGAAAUGCAGAACAGCGUUUCCCCUUCGCAGUGCCCUCUCUCCGGCAGCCUGCAGAGCUACUGGGUGUCGUGUGCCAUGGUGCUGCUGCUGGCCACGGCUCUCCUGGCUCGCUGGAAGGAGGUGACAGCCAUGCUGCUGUCUGCCAGGCUCCUCUCCUUUUCCAGCCAGCCUGUGCUGCUGUUCCCCUACGUGCCUAACAACAACAACACUCGCUUCAAGUGGCAGCUCCUGAGCAGGCUCCUCCUGUGUUUCCUUGGCACUUGGGCGCCGUUUGUUGUUCUCCAGGUGGUGGUUCUGCUCCUGGGUGUGCAGAUCCCAGCCUAUGUGGAGAUGAACGUGCCCUGGCUGUACUUCAUCAACAGCUUUCUCCUGGCAGCAGCCUACUGGUGCCGGUGCCACCAAGUGGAGCUGACAGAGGAAGGGUGGUGCACAGACCCCUUUGUCAGCUGGAAAUUCUGCUUUAUGCCGUUCAACAAUGAAAGCACAGAGCCAGCUGAUAAGCCAGGCCCAGUAAUCGUCAACUGUUAA
Molecule: long non-coding RNA, 945 nt
Filed under: Cyanistes caeruleus (blue tit)
Lineage: Eukaryota; Metazoa; Chordata; Aves; Passeriformes; Paridae
Description: lncRNA (ENSCCEG00000006595.1)
Source: RNAcentral